GACGAACGCUGGCGGCGUGCCUAAUACAUGCAAGUCGAACGCUGAAGCUUGGUGCUUGCACCGAGCGGAUGAGUUGCGAACGGGUGAGUAACGCGUAGGUAACCUGCCUGGUAGCGGGGGAUAACUAUUGGAAACGAUAGCUAAUACCGCAUAAGAGUAGAUGUUGCAUGACAUUUGCUUAAAAGGUGCAAUUGCAUCACUACCAGCUGGACCUGCGUUGUAUUAGCUAGUUGGUGAGGUAACGGCUCACCAAGGCAACGAUACAUAGCCGACCUGAGAGGGUGGUCGGCCACACUGGGACUGAGACACGGCCCAGACUCCUACGGGAGGCAGCAGUAGGGAAUCUUCGGCAAUGGACGGAAGUCUGACCGAGCAACGCCGCGUGAGUGAAGAAGGUUUUCGGAUCGUAAAGCUCUGUUGUAAGAGAAGAACGAGUGUGAGAGUGGAAAGUUCACACUGUGACGGUAUCUUACCAGAAAGGGACGGCUAACUACGUG
Molecule: ribosomal RNA, 497 nt
Filed under: uncultured bacterium
Lineage: Bacteria
Description: partial 16S ribosomal RNA
Rfam family: Bacterial small subunit ribosomal RNA
Source: RNAcentral